GAUGAACGCUGGCGGCGUGCCUAAUACAUGCCAGUCGAGCGAACAGAUGAGGAGCUUGCUCCUCUGACGUUAGCGGCGGACGGGUGAGUAACACGUGGAUAACCUACCUAUAAGACUGGGAUAACUUCGGGAAACCGGAGCUAAUACCGGAUAAUAUAUUGAACCGCAUGGUUCAAUAGUGAAAGACGGUUUUGCUGUCACUUAUAGAUGGAUCCGCGCCGCAUUAGCUAGUUGGUAAGGUAACGGCUUACCAAGGCAACGAUGCGUAGCCGACCUGAGAGGGUGAUCGGCCACACUGGAACUGAGACACGGUCCAGACUCCUACGGGAGGCAGCAGUAGGGAAUCUUCCGCAAAGGGCGAAAGCCUGACGGAGCAACGCCGCGUGAGUGAUGAAGGUCUUCGGAUCGUAAAACUCUGUUAUUAGGGAAGAACAAAUGUGUAAGUAACUAUGCACGUCUUGACGGUACCUAAUCAGAAAGCCACGGCUAACUACGUG
Molecule: ribosomal RNA, 497 nt
Filed under: uncultured bacterium
Lineage: Bacteria
Description: partial 16S ribosomal RNA
Rfam family: Bacterial small subunit ribosomal RNA
Source: RNAcentral